CAGUAGCCACGGUAAUACGUAGGGUGCAAGCGUUAAUCGGAACUACUGGGCGUAAAGCGUGCGCAGGCGGUUGUGUAAGACAGGUGUGAAAUCCCCGGGCUUAACCUGGGAACUGCGCUUGUGACUGCACAGCUAGAGUAUGGCAGAGGGGGGUGGAAUUCCACGUGUAGCAGUGAAAUGCGUAGAGAUGUGGAGGAACACCGAUGGCGAAGGCAGCCCCCUGGGCCAAUACUGACGCUCAUGCACGAAAGCGUGGGGAGCAAACAGGAUUAGAUACCCCCGUAGUCCCUGUCUCUUAUAC
RNAcentral lists this ribosomal RNA (301 nucleotides) under uncultured bacterium. RNAcentral describes it as "partial 16S ribosomal RNA". It matches the Rfam family "Bacterial small subunit ribosomal RNA", at positions 509 to 807 of the family's 1533-position model. The record is from RNAcentral.